Molecule: non-coding RNA, 96 nt
Organism: Xyrichtys novacula (pearly razorfish)
Lineage: Eukaryota; Metazoa; Chordata; Actinopteri; Labriformes; Labridae
Source: the annotation of a GenBank genome assembly
GGGGAGCCGACUGAGCAUGCUCAGUCUGCUCCCCUCUCUCUCUCUCCUUCAGGAGGGAGAGAGAGGGGAGCAGACUGAGCAUGCUCACUCUGCUCC